CCACGCCGUAAAUGGUGAGUGCUAGGUGUCGGGAGUCAAAUCUCGGUGCCGACGUUAACACAUUAAGCACUCCGCCUGGGGAGUACGCACGCAAGUGUGAAACUCAAAGGAAUUGACGGGGACCCGCACAAGCAGCGGAGCAUGUGGUUUAAUUCGAAGCAACGCGAAGAACCUUACCAGGACUUGACAUACUAGUGCCAGGUAUAGAGAUAUACCCUUAUCUUAGAUACACUAAUACAGGUGGUGCAUGGUUGU
Molecule: ribosomal RNA, 255 nt
Filed under: uncultured bacterium
Lineage: Bacteria
Description: partial 16S ribosomal RNA
Rfam family: Bacterial small subunit ribosomal RNA
Source: RNAcentral